Molecule: ribosomal RNA, 444 nt
Filed under: uncultured bacterium
Lineage: Bacteria
Description: bacterial SSU rRNA
Rfam family: Bacterial small subunit ribosomal RNA
Source: RNAcentral
UGGCGGACGGGUGAGUAAUGCGUGGGUAAUCUACCCUAGGGUGGGGAAUAACUUCCCGAAAGGGGAGCUAAUGCCUCAUGUGCACCACUCUCGCAAGGGAGUAUUGGAAAGCCGUACCGAGGGUGCGGCGCCCAAGGAUGAGCUCACGUCCUAUCAGCUUGUUGGCGGGGUAACGGCCCACCAAGGCUGCGACGGGUAGCUGGUCUGAGAGGAUGAUCAGCCACACUGGGACUGAGACACGGCCCAGACUCCUACGGGAGGCAGCAGUGGGGAAUUUUGGACAAUGGGGGCAACCCUGAUCCAGCCAUGCCGCGUGAGUGAAGAAGGCCUUCGGGUUGUAAAGCUCUUUCGGCCGGAACGAAACGGCUCGGGUGAAUAUCCCGGGUUACUGACGGUACCGGAGGAAGAAGCACCGGCUAACUACGUGCCAGCAGCCGCGGUAAU